This 367-nucleotide long non-coding RNA is filed under the name Physcomitrium patens. Its description in RNAcentral is "long non-coding RNA (PPAT_LNC005421)". Lineage: Eukaryota; Viridiplantae; Streptophyta; Bryopsida; Funariales; Funariaceae. The record is from RNAcentral.
UAUAGAAUUUUUAUAAAUUUAAUUUCUUUUUGAUAGUGGCUUUUAAGAUUGGUUUUGGUUGAUAGUAACUUCUAAAUAUUUAGAGUCACCUUUGUUAGACUUUGGUGACAUUUGAAAACUUAUUUUGGUUCUUUUAUUUGGUAUUUAGUGCAUAAAUUAUAUAAAUCUCAUAAGAAAAAGGAUUGAAGAAGGAUUUUGGUAGCAAAGGGAGGAAUUAGGCAACCAAUACAGAUGAAUGGAGAUGAAAAAUAAAAAUCUCCAUUCCUAUUGGUCAAAAAUCAUGACCAAUGGGCUUUGAGGAGGCUGCCCGAGGCCAUAUUAGGGAUUAGGGUUAGUUUCUCUAAGCCAUUCGAACUUUGAAGGCUAG